Molecule: ribosomal RNA, 1769 nt
Filed under: Polysiphonia sp.
Lineage: Eukaryota; Rhodophyta; Florideophyceae; Ceramiales; Rhodomelaceae
Description: SSU rRNA
Rfam family: Eukaryotic small subunit ribosomal RNA
Source: RNAcentral
UCGCCCUUUACCUGGUUGAUCCUGCCAGUGGUAUAUGCUUGUCUCAAAGACUAAGCCAUGCAAGUGCCUGUAUGAGUGUUUAUACAACGAAACUGCGAAUGGCUCGGUAAAACAGCAAUAAUUUCUUCGAGGAUAAAUACUACCGGAUAACCGUAGUAAAGCUAGAGCUAAUACGUUCCAUUGCAGCGCGAGUUUUUCCGCUCGUGGUACUAAGUAUUAGGUACAAGCCAGGAUUUUUUUUUCUGGUGAUUCAUACUUAUCUUCUGAUCGCACACUUGUUGUGCGACGCCUCGAUUAAAUUUCUGACCUAUCAACUAUGAUGGUAAGGUAGGGUCUUACCAUGGUUGUGACGGGUAACGGACCGUGGGUGCGGGAUUCCGGAGAGGGAGCCUGAGAAACGGCUACCACAUCCAAGGAAGGCAGCAGGCGCGCAACUUACCCAAUCCGAACUUCGGGAGGUAGUGACAAGAAAUAUCAAUAGGGGGACCAAUGGUCUUUCUAAUUGGAAUGAAAACAAUGUAAACACAUUAUUGAGGAACCAGCAGAGGGCAAGUCUGGUGCCAGCAGCCGCGGUAAUUCCAGCUCUGUAAGCGUAUACCAAAGUUGUUGCAGUUAAAACGCUCGUAGUCGGAUUUUGGCGUGGUGCUUAUUAGAUGCCCAACAUUUUUGGUGUAUCGACUUAUAGUCCCGCCUUUGUGGAGGGGGGCGUGGUGGUGCUUUAUUGCAUUGCUGCGUUUCCGCCACUGUUUACUGUGAAAAAAUUAGAGUGUUCAAAGCGAGCGAUUGCCAUAUGAAUAGAUUAGCAUGGAAUAAUAGAAUAGGACCUGGUUCUGUCUUAUUGGUUUGUCGGAUUCAGGUAAUGAUUAAGAGGGACGGUCGGGGGCAUUUGUAUUCCAGGGUUAGAGGUGAAAUUCUUAGAUCCUUGGAAGACAAACAGCUGCGAAAGCGUCUGCCAAGGACGUUUUCAUUGAUCAAGAACGAAAGUAAGGGGAUCGAAGACGAUCAGAUACCGUCGUAGUCUUUACUAUAAACGAUGAUGACUGGGGAUACGAGGUGUCCUUUUAUUUGGCUCCUUGCGCACCCUCCGGGAAACCAAAGUGUUUGAUUUCUGGGGGGAGUAUGGUCGCAAGUCUGAAACUUAAAGGAAUUGACGGAAGGGCAUCACCGGGUGUGGAGCCUGCGGCUUAAUUUGACUCAACACGGGAAAACUUACCAGGUCCAGACAUAGUGAGGAUUGACAGAUUGAGAGCUCUUUCUUGAUUCUAUGGUUGGUGGUGCAUGGCCGUUCUUAGUUGGUGGAGUGAUCUGUCUGGUUAAUUCCGUUAACGAGCGAGACCCGGGCGUGCUAAAUAGGGUGUGUUAUUCUUGUAAUAGCAUGAUUGUUCCCUUCUUAGACGGACUGUAGGCUUUUAGUCUAUGGAAGCUCCGGGCAAUAACAGGUCUGAGAUGCCCUUAGAUGUUCUGGGCCGCACGCGUGCUACACUGAACGGUUCACUGGGUGAGGUAGUGCGAAAGCAUGACCUAAUCUCUAAAUCCGUUCGUGCUGGGGAUAGAAGCUUGCAAUUAUCCUUCUUGAACGAGGAAUACCUUGUAGGCGUGAGUCAUCAUCUCGCGCCGAAUACGUCCCUGCCCUUUGUACACACCGCCCGUCGCUCCUACCGAUUGAGUGGUCCGGUGAGGCUUUGGGAGGACUGGAUGGAUUGUGUUCACAAACUGUUCGGGCUGAACUUAGUCAAACCUUAUCACUUAAAGAAGAAAUCGUACAGGUU